This 492-nucleotide ribosomal RNA is filed under the name uncultured bacterium. RNAcentral's name for it is "partial 16S ribosomal RNA". It matches the Rfam family "Bacterial small subunit ribosomal RNA", at positions 29 to 507 of the family's 1533-position model. The record is from RNAcentral.
AGUGAACGCUGGCGGUAGGCCUAACACAUGCAAGUCGAACGGCAGCACAGUAAGAGCUUGCUCUUACGGGUGGCGAGUGGCGGACGGGUGAGGAAUACAUCGGAAUCUACUUUUUCGUGGGGGAUAACGUAGGGAAACUUACGCUAAUACCGCAUACGACCUACGGGUGAAAGCAGGGGAUCUUCUGACCUUGCGCGAUUGAAUGAGCCGAUGUCGGAUUAGCUAGUUGGCGGGGUAAAGGCCCACCAAGGCGACGAUCCGUAGCUGGUCUGAGAGGAUGGUCAGCCACACUGGAACUGGGACACGGUCCAGACUCCUACGGGAGGGCGCAGUGGGGAAUAUUGGGCAAUGGGGGGAAACAUGAUCCAGCCAGCCCGCGCGGGUGGAGGAGGCGCUCGGGUUGGAAAGACCUUUUGUUGGGAAAGAACAGCAGCAGGUUAAUACCCCGCUGUUCUGACGGUAACCAAAGAAUAAGCACCGGCUAACUUCGUG